This is a long non-coding RNA of Calidris pugnax (ruff), 265 nucleotides long. RefSeq lists it as uncharacterized. Lineage: Eukaryota; Metazoa; Chordata; Aves; Charadriiformes; Scolopacidae. The transcript is spliced from 3 exons. The record is from RefSeq and is a predicted model, not a curated record.
AGGUGGGUUGCAGGACAGCUCGUACUCACCAGGAGGGUGUCCAGGGCAUCGAUCAGCGUGAGAGAGAAGCUACGAAGGCAGAGAAGCGAGCUCCUUUCACCAGCACCUGCUGUGUGACACCACCCCAGUCACAGGCUUCCCCACUGUCCUGGAGUUCAGCUCCCAGCAAUGGCACCUGCCCUCCGUAAAGCUGCCUAUGGAUCACACAUCGUCAAUGUACUUGUGCCCACCCAGAGCAGCCUGGCAGAGCAGGAGAGGAGGGAGA